UGCAGCACUAAGGGGCGGAACCCCCUAACACUUAGCACUCAUCGUUUACGGCGUGGACUACCAGGGUAUCUAAUCCUGUUCGCUCCCCACGCUUUCGCUCCUCAGCGUCAGUUACAGACCAGAGAGUCGCCUUCGCCACUGGUGUUCCUCCACAUCUCUACGCAUUUCACCGCUACACGUGGAAUUCCACUCUCCUCUUCUGCACUCAAGUUUCCCAGUUUCCAAUGACCCUCCCCGGUUGAGCCGGGGGCUUUCACAUCAGACUUAAGAGACCGCCUGCGAGCCCUUUACGCCCAAUAAUUCCGGACAACGCUUGCCACCUACGUAUUACCGCGGCUGCUGGCACGUAGUUAGCCGUGGCUUUCUGGUUAGGUACCGUCAAGGUGCAAGCAGUUACUCUUGCACUUGUUCUUCCCUAACAACAGAGCUUUACGUUCCGRAAACCUUCAUCACUCACGCGGCGUUGCUCCGUCAGACUUUCGUCCAUU
RNAcentral lists this ribosomal RNA (488 nucleotides) under Bacillus subtilis. Its description in RNAcentral is "partial 16S ribosomal RNA". The record is from RNAcentral. Lineage: Bacteria; Bacillati; Bacillota; Bacilli; Caryophanales; Bacillaceae.